GACGAACGCUGGCGGCGUGCCUAAUACAUGCAAGUAGAACGCUGAAGGAGGAGCUUGCUUCUCUGGAUGAGUUGCGAACGGGUGAGUAACGCGUAGGUAACCUGCCUGGUAGCGGGGGAUAACUAUUGGAAACGAUGGCUAAUACCGCAUAAGAGUAGAUGUUGCAUGACAUUUGCUUAAAAGGUGCAAUUGCAUCACUACCAGAUGGACCUGCGUUGUAUUAGCUAGUUGGUGAGGUAACGGCUCACCAAGGCGACGAUACAUAGCCGACCUGAGAGGGUGAUCGGCCACACUGGGACUGAGACACGGCCCAGACUCCUACGGGAGGCAGCAGUAGGGAAUCUUCGGCAAUGGACGGAAGUCUGACCGAGCAACGCCGCGUGAGUGAAGAAGGGUUUCGGAUCGUAAAGCUCUGUUGUAAGAGAAGAACGAGUGUGAGAGUGGAAAGUUCACACUGUGACGGUAUCUUACCAGAAAGGGACGGCUAACUACGUG
Molecule: ribosomal RNA, 495 nt
Filed under: uncultured bacterium
Lineage: Bacteria
Description: partial 16S ribosomal RNA
Rfam family: Bacterial small subunit ribosomal RNA
Source: RNAcentral